UAACGCAUGCAAGUCGAGGGGCAGCAUGGUCUUAGCUUGCUAAGGCCGAUGGCGACCGGCGCACGGGUGAGUAACACGUAUCCAACCUGCCGUCUACUCUUGGACAGCCUUCUGAAAGGAAGAUUAAUACAAGAUGGCAUCAUGAGUCCGCAUGUUCACAUGAUUAAAGGUAUUCCGGUAGACGAUGGGGAUGCGUUCCAUUAGAUAGUAGGCGGGGUAACGGCCCACCUAGUCUUCGAUGGAUAGGGGUUCUGAGAGGAAGGUCCCCCACAUUGGAACUGAGACACGGUCCAAACUCCUACGGGAGGCAGCAGUGAGGAAUAUUGGUCAAUGGGCGCAGGCCUGAACCAGCCAAGUAGCGUGAAGGAUGACUGCCCUAUGGGUUGUAAACUUCUUUUAUAAAGGAAUAAAGUCGGGUAUGUAUACCCGUUUGCAUGUACUUUAUGAAUAAGGAUCGGCUAACUCCGUGCCAGCAGCCGCGGUAAUACGGAGGAUCCGAGCGUUAUCCGGAUUUAUUGGGUUUAAAGGGAGCGUAGAUGGAUGUUUAAGUCAGUUGUGAAAGUUUGCGGCUCAACCGUAAAAUUGCAGUUGAUACUGGAUAUCUUGAGUGCAGUUGAGGCAGGCGGAAUUCGUGGUGUAGCGGUGAAAUGCUUAGAUAUCACGAAGAACUCCGAUUGCGAAGGCAGCCUGCUAAGCUGCAACUGACAUUGAGGCUCGAAAGUGUGGGUAUCAAA
Molecule: ribosomal RNA, 734 nt
Filed under: uncultured Bacteroidales bacterium
Lineage: Bacteria; Pseudomonadati; Bacteroidota; Bacteroidia; Bacteroidales
Description: bacterial SSU rRNA
Rfam family: Bacterial small subunit ribosomal RNA
Source: RNAcentral